Molecule: long non-coding RNA, 602 nt
Organism: Rhinolophus ferrumequinum (greater horseshoe bat)
Lineage: Eukaryota; Metazoa; Chordata; Mammalia; Chiroptera; Rhinolophidae
Exons: 3
Source: RefSeq, a predicted model, not a curated record
UUUUGCCUUUUACAUACUGUGACAAAGGAAUAUGCUGGUCAAGGCAAGGCUGUUUCAGUGUUUCAGUUUCAACAAGAAUGUUGGAUUACAGGUCCUCACUUUCUACCAAGCCGGGAUUCAGUGUCAGGACCACACAGUCCACUGGGCAUCUGCCCCACAGAAUGACUGACAGGCUGCAGGAGACGACGGCUUCACUACUGAUUGUUACAGUGCAGUCACAGCCGUGACCAACCACUGCCCCCUAGUGACGCUGAGGACAAGUGUUGCUAAGAAUCGGAUCCACUUCGAGUCCCUCCCUGCUACCAGAAAGCUUCAGGUGUACAGCACAGUGAUCAAGCAUCUACACUGUCCAUGAAGUCAUCCCCUGAAGGCCGCUACUCUAUUUCUUGAACGAGCUCAGUGGCUCGCAGUGCGUGGAAGAGGACCAGCAGUCAACAGACUGAAUCUCUCCCUCAGCUGACUGUGCGCGACUCACCUAAGUCUAAUUUCCACAUCUGUCAAAUGAGGAAGAAAAUUUGCUCUGAUUCCCUCUUAGGGCUGUUAUGAAGACCAACUGAGAUAAUGUAUAUGAGGCGCUUUAUACACAGAGGUAUGACAAAUAA